RNAcentral lists this ribosomal RNA (741 nucleotides) under Shigella sonnei. RNAcentral describes it as "partial 23S ribosomal RNA". It matches the Rfam family "Bacterial large subunit ribosomal RNA", at positions 448 to 1190 of the family's 2925-position model. The record is from RNAcentral. Lineage: Bacteria; Pseudomonadati; Pseudomonadota; Gammaproteobacteria; Enterobacterales; Enterobacteriaceae.
GGGGCCCAUCCUCCAAGGCUAAAUACUCCUGACUGACCGAUAGUGAACCAGUACCGUGAGGGAAAGGCGAAAAGAACCCCGGCGAGGGGAGUGAAAAAGAACCUGAAACCGUGUACGUACAAGCAGUGGGAGCACGCUUAGGCGUGUGACUGCGUACCUUUUGUAUAAUGGGUCAGCGACUUAUAUUCUGUAGCAAGGUUAACCGAAUAGGGGAGCCGAAGGGAAACCGAGUCUUAACUGGGCGUUAAGUUGCAGGGUAUAGACCCGAAACCCGGUGAUCUAGCCAUGGGCAGGUUGAAGGUUGGGUAACACUAACUGGAGGACCGAACCGACUAAUGUUGAAAAAUUAGCGGAUGACUUGUGGCUGGGGGUGAAAGGCCAAUCAAACCGGGAGAUAGCUGGUUCUCCCCGAAAGCUAUUUAGGUAGCGCCUCGUGAAUUCAUCUCCGGGGGUAGAGCACUGUUUCGGCAAGGGGGUCAUCCCGACUUACCAACCCGAUGCAAACUGCGAAUACCGGAGAAUGUUAUCACGGGAGACACACGGCGGGUGCUAACGUCCGUCGUGAAGAGGGAAACAACCCAGACCGCCAGCUAAGGUCCCAAAGUCAUGGUUAAGUGGGAAACGAUGUGGGAAGGCCCAGACAGCCAGGAUGUUGGCUUAGAAGCAGCCAUCAUUUAAAGAAAGCGUAAUAGCUCACUGGUCGAGUCGGCCUGCGCGGAAGAUGUAACGGGGCUAAACCAU